Molecule: unclassified non-coding RNA, 414 nt
Filed under: uncultured Basidiomycota
Lineage: Eukaryota; Fungi; Basidiomycota
Description: sequence contains ITS2
Rfam family: 5.8S ribosomal RNA (bases 1-155)
Source: RNAcentral
AACUUUUAGCAAUGGAUCACUUGGCUCUCGCAUCGAUGAAGAACGCAGCGAAAUGCGAUACGUAAUGUGAAUUGCAGAUUUAUAGUGAAUCAUCGAAUCUUUGAACGCAUCUUGCGCCCCGUGGUAUUCCGCGGGGCAUGCCUGUCUGAGUGUCAAUACUAUCUCAACCUUACAUUUUUGUAAUGAAUUUGUAUUGGAUUGGAACUUGGGCUCCGGCGGGGUUAGAACCGCCGGCCUCAAACGCAGUAGUAGGUUAGCCGAAUUGCGGUUUGACCGGGUGUUGUAGAGUCGCCUCACUCGGGACGCACGUCGGAUUAGCCGAUAACCCAAAAUUGCAUUUGAUUACUCAAAACGAUUAGACCUCAGAUCAGGCAGGAUUACCCGCUGAACUUAAGCAUAUCAAUAAGCGGAGGC